GAACUAAACCUUCCAGAGCAAAAUCUUUUGAGUUGGUGUAAACCACAGAGUUUGAGAGAGGUAAGGUUAGGGAAUAAGAGUAGCGGUACUGCUUCAUCUUCAUUUUCAUUGGAAACAAUUGCCUCCACUUCACCCCCCCAUAUAUGUAGUUCCUCAAGUUGCACAAGAGCACUCGCCACAGAAAGCGGAAAAAGAUUUAGCAAUUUGUUGCAUCCAAUUACUUUCAAUUUCCUUAAUUUGGAAAACGAAUUUGCUGGAAGUUGGUCAGACCACAAUGCUCUUAUAUUAUCUAGUUCUCGUACAUACAGGGACUCCAAGCCUGGGAAUGCAACCUGUGCAAUUGAUGAUCCCUUUGGUUAAUAAAAUAUACAUAUACAUUCCUAAUAAUUAGACACAUGUAAAUAGAAAAUAAGAGGUUAAAGGAGAAUAUAUCAGUAUAACAAAGCAUAAAAUUUAAACUAGAUUGAAGAAGAUCAAGAAAGAGAAAAGAAAAGAAAAGAAAAGAAAAAGCCUCCAAAUUUUGAAGAUCCAAUGAAACUUAAAAAAAAAAAAAAAAAACCUCCAAAUUUUGCUUUGGAAAUGAGGUAAUAAGAGGAUUUUUUUUUCUUUUUUCUUUGCCUCUCUUUCAAAUUUGAUUAACUUCUAUGGAAAACGUAUUUUAACUAGGCAUGGAAAACGGAUUUUUUUUUUAACUUUUAUAUAAGAUACAAGUAAUACUUUAAAAAAAUUUUGAUAUCUAAAAAAAUUUUUGAAAAAUUAUUUUUAAAGAUAUAAGGUAAAUCUAUACUUUUUGAAUAAGAUGUUCUACCUUUAUAUACAAAUUUCUGAUUUUUUUUUUUUUUAAAGUGUAUCCAAAUGGACACUAAACUAUCUAGUUUUUAAUUGUUACAACUUUGAAUUGGAUUUUAUGGUAAACUAAUUUACAAUAUAAUGCAUGGAUUCAUCUUAGAUUCCAUCUAUAAAUUUUUUUAAUUAUCUAAUAUAAGACAUUAUAUUAAUGGGUUGAAUUAAUAAUGUAAUUAUAAUUUAUUUGGCAACUUUCUUCCUUCAAAUAUAUAAAAUGAAAAUAAAUUUUAAAAAAUAAAAAAAAUGAAAAAAAUAAAAAAAAUAAAAAAAGCUUUUUUUUUUUAUAGUUUUUCUAAGAUGAUUUUGUAGAGUACUGUUAGUUUAUAGUUUUAACUUUAUUUAUUGAGGUAUGUUCUUUUUUGAAACUCUUGUUUAGAUUUUAUAGAGCAUAUAAAUUUUAAGAAAAAAAAUGAAAUUUAAAUAAAAUAAGAAUAAAGAAAGGCAAAAGGUGGAUGAAUUUUUUUAAGGCAAAAGUUUGAUAACUUGGCACUAUCAUGUAAUGGGUGAAAUUUUUAAAUACUCAACAAAGGCUAGUGAAAUUUAAAUUAAAAGCUUGACAUGUACUUUUUCGACCAAAAUCUUUGGAGUUGGUGUAAAGUUUUGAGUAUGAGAGAGGUUAGUCUAGGGAAUACUAUUGCACAUUAGUUCAAAUAAAACAUCAACAUUUUUUUUUGUUAAAUUCUAAAUGAAAACCACUAUAAAUUAAUGCGAUUUUGUAUGCUCAAUUAAAUAAACUCGUUCUUAAGGCAUCACAUGAAGUGUUUAAGUCUAAUUAAUAUUAAUUAAAAAUGAUUAUAUUAAAAAAAAUCCAAAGUAAUUUAUUUUUAUCAUAAGUCAAGUAGGAUAGUUUUAUAAAUAAUUGGUUCUAGUUUCUGGUAUUAUUGUACACAAUCGCUAUGUUUGUUGCACCUCAAAAAAAUCUACUACUUGUAAUUAAUUGUAUAUUAUUCUCCAUAUUCACAUCAGUUUAUGUAGUAUGAUUAAUUUAGCAACAAAAUAUAAGUUUACUUGAAAUCGCUUUAAAUUCCUAUGAUAUUAAAGUUUAAGAUUAAAACAAUGUAACAUUAGCCAAAAAGAUUAAGAUCUAUAAUGUAACAUAUAAAAUUUAGAAAAUUCAAGGAAGGGUAAACUCGCACCUGUUCUACCCAGAAGAGUGGCUCAAGUUCACAUUCAGAAUUUAUUUGUUGAAAGAGUAUCUCCACUUUAUCACAAUCGAGCACUUCCAAUUCUUUCAGAAGUGGCCAACUUGAACUAAACCUUCUAGAGCAAAAUCUUUUGAGUUGGUGUAAACCAGAGAGAGUGAGAGAGGUAAGGUUAGGGAAUAAGAGUAAAGGUGCUGCUUCAUCUUUAUUUUCAUUGGCAACAAUUGCCUCCACUCCACUCUCCGAUAUAUAUAGGUAAUCAAGUUGCACAAGAGCACUCGCCACAGAAACCGGAAAAAGGUUUAGCAAUUUGUUGCAUCCCCUUACUUGCAAUUUCCUUAAUUUGGAAAAUGAAUUUGCUGGAAGUUGGUCAGGCCACAAUGCUCUUAUAUUAUCUAGUCCACGUACAGACAAGGACUCCAAGCCUGGGAGUGCAACCUGUGCAAUUGAUGAUCCCUUUAGUUAAUAAUAUAUACAUAUACAUUCCUAAUAAUUAGACACAUGUAAAUAGAAAAUAAGAGGUUAAAGGAGAAUAUAUCAGUAUAACAAAGCACAAAAUUUAAACUAGAUUCAAGAAGAUCAAGAAAGAGAAAAGAAAAGAAAAAGCCUCCAGAUUUUGAAGAUACAAUGAAACUUAAAAAAAAAAAAAAAAAACCUCCAAAUUUUCCUUUCGAAAUGAGGUAAUAAGAGGAUUUUUCUUUGCCUCUCUUUCAAAUUUGAUUAACUUCUAUGGAAAACGUAUUUUAACUAGUUAUGGAAAACAUAUUUUUUUUUUUAAACUUUUAUAUAAGAUACAAGUAAUACUUUAAAAAAAUUGUGACAUCUAAAAAAUUUUUUGAAAAAUUAUUUUUAAAGAAAUAAGGUAAAUCUAUACUUUUUGUAUAAGAUGUUCUACCUUUAUAUACAAAUUUCUGAUUUUUUUUUUUUAAAGUGUAUCCAAAUGGACACUAAACUAUCUAGUUUUUAAUUGUUACAACUUUGAAUUGCAUUUUAUGGUAAACUAAUUUACAAGUUAAUGCAUGGAUUCAUCUUAGAUUCCAUCUAUAAAUUUUUUUAAUUAUCUAAUAUAAGACAUUAUAUUAAUGGGUUGAAUUAAUAAUGUAAUUAUAAUUUAUUUGGCAACUUUCUUCCUUCAAAUAUAUAAAAUGAAAAUAAAUUUUAAAAAAUAAAAAAAAAAUGAAAAACAUAAAAAAUAAAAAAAGAUUUUUUUUUAUAGUUUUUCUAAGAUGAUUUUGUAGAGUACUGUUAGUUUAUAGUUUUAACUUUAUUUCAUUUUACUUUUAACUUUAUUUAUUGAGGUAUGUUCUUUUUUGAAACUCUUGUUUAGAUUUUAUAGAGAAUAUAAAUUUUAAGAAAAAAAAUGAAAUUUAAAUAAAAUAAGAAUAAAGAAAGGCAAAAGGUGGAUGAAUUUUUUUAAGGCAAAAGUUUGAUAACUUGGCACUAUCAUGUAAUGGGUGAAAUUUUUAAAUACUCAACAAAGGCUAGUGAAAUUUAAAUUAAAAGCUUGAUAUGUACUUUUUCGACCAAAAUCUUUGGAGUUGGUGUAAAGUUUUGAGUAUGAGAGAGGUUAGUCUAGGGAAUACUAUUGCACAUUAGUUCAAAUAAAACAUCAACAUUUUUUUUUGUUAAAUUCUAAAUGAACACCACUAUAAAUUAAUGCGAUUUUGUAUGCUCAAUUAAAUAAACUCGUUCUUAAGGCAUCACAUGAAGUGUUUAAGUCUAAUGAAUAUUAAUUAAAAAUGAUUAUAUUAAAAAAAUCCAAAGUAAUUUAUUUUUAUCAUAAGUCAAGUAGGAUAGUUUUAUAAAUAAACUGUUCUAGUUUCUAGUAUAAUUGUACACAAUCGCUAUGUUUGUUGCACCUCCAAAAAAUCUACUACUUGUAAUUAAUUGUAUAUUAUUCUCCAUAUUCACAUCAGUUUAUGUAGUAUGAUUAAUUUAGCAACAAAAUAUAAGUUUACUUGAAAUCGCUUUAAAUUCCUAUGAUAUUAAAGUUUAAGAUUAAAACAAUGUAACAUUAGCCAAAAAGACUAAGAUCUAUAAUGUAACAUAUAAAAUUUAGAAAAUUCAAGGAAGGGUAAACUCGCACCUGUUCUACCCAGAAGAGUGGCUCAAGUUCACAUUCAGAAUUUAUUUGUUGAAAGAGUAUCUCCACUUUAUCACAAUCGAGCACUUCCAAUUCUUUCAGAAGUGGCCAGCUUGAACUAAACCUUCUAGAGCAAAAUCUUUUCAGUUGGUGUAAACCGGAGAGUGUGAGAGAGGUAAGGUUAGGGAAUAAGAGUAAAGGUGCUGCUUCAUCUUCAUUUUCAUUGGCAACAAUUGCCUCCACUCCACUCUCCGAUAUAUAUAGGUCCUCAAGAUGCACAAGAGCACUCGCCACAGAAACCGGAAAAAGGUUUAGCAGUUUGUUGCAUCCCCUUACUUGCAAUUUCCUUAAUUUGGAAAAUGAAUUUGCUGGAAGUUGGUCAGGCCACAAUGCUCUUAUAUUAUCUAGUCCGCGUACAGACAAGGACUCCAACCCUGGGAGUGCAACCUCUGCAAUUGAUGAUCCCUUUAGUUAAUAAUAUAUACAUAUACAUUCCUAAUAAUUAGACACAUGUAAAUAGAAAAUAAGAGGUUAAAGGAGAAUAUAUCAGUAUAACAAAGCACAAAAUUUAAACUAGAUUCAAGAAGAUCAAGAAAGAGAAAAGAAAAGAAAAAGCCUCCAGAUUUUGAAGAUACAAUGAAACUUAAAAAAAAAAAAAAAAACCUUCAAAUUUUCCUUUCGAAAUGAGCUAAUAAGAGGAUUUUUUUUUUCUUUUUUCUUUGCAUCUCUUUCAAAUUUGAUUAACUUCUAUGGAAAACGUAUUUUAACUAGUUAUGGAAAACGGAUAUUUUUUUUUUAACUUUUAUAUAAGAUACAAGUAAUACUUUAAAAAAAUUGUGAUAUCUAAAUAAUUUUUUGAAAAAUUAUUUUGAAAGAAAUAAGGUAAAUCUAUACUUUUUGUAUAAGAUGUUCAACCUUUAUAUACAAAUUUCUAAUUUUUUUUUUUAAAGUGUAUCCAAAUGGACACUAAACUAUCUAGUUUUUAAUUGUUACAACUUUGAAUUGGAUUUUAUGGUAAACUAAUUUACAAGUUAAUGCAUGGAUUCAUCUUAGAUUCCAUCUAUAAAUUUUUUUAAUUAUCUAAUAUAAGACAUUAUAUUAAUGGGUUGAAUUAAUAAUGUAAUUAUAAUUUAUUUGGCAACUUUCUUCCUUCAAAUAUAUAAAAUGAAAAUAAAUUUUAAAAAAUAAAAAAAAUGAAAAAAAUAAAAAAUAAAAAAAGAUUUUUUUUAUAGUUUUUCUAAGGUGAUUUUGUAGAGUAUUGUUAGUUUAUAGUUUUAACUUUAUUUCAUUUUACUUUUAACUUUAUUUAUUGAGGUAUGUUCUUUUUUGCAACUCUUGUUUAGAUUUUAUAGAGAAUAUAAAUUUUAAGAAAAAAAAUGAAAUUUAAAUAAAAUAAGAAUAAAGAAAGGCAAAAGGUGGAUGAAUUUUCUUAAGGCAAAAGUUUGAUAACUUGGCACUAUCAUGUAAUGGGUGAAAUUUUUAAAUACUCAACAAAGGCUAGUGAAAUUUAAAUUAAAAGCUUGACAUGUACCUUUUCGACCAAAAUCUUUGGAGUUGGUGUAAAGUUUUGAGUAUGAGAGAGGUUAGUAUAGGGAAUAUUAUUGCACAUUAGUUCAAAUAAAACAUCAACAUUUUUUUUUGUUAAAUUCUAAAUGAACACCACUAUAAAUUAAUGCGAUUUUGUAUGCUCAAUUAAAUAAACUCGUUCUUAAGGCAUCACAUGAAGUGUUUAAGUCUAAUUAAUAUUAAUUAAAAAUGAUUAUAUUAAAAAAAAUCCAAAGUAAUUUAUUUUUAUCAUAAGUCAAGUAGGAUAGUUUUAUAAAUAAUUGGUUCUAGUUUCUAGUAUUAUUGUACACAAUCGCUAUGUUUGUUGCACCUCCAAAAAAUCUACUACUUGUAAUUAAUUGUAUAUUAUUCUCCAUAUUCACAUCAGUUUAUGUAGUAUGAUUAAUUUAGCAACAAAAUAUAAGUUUACUUGAAAUCGCUUUAAAUUCCUAUGAUAUUAAAGUUUAAGAUUAAAACAAUGUAACAUUAGCCAAAAAGAUUAAGAUCUAUAAUGUAACAUAUAAAAUUUAGAAAAUUCAAGGAAGGGUAAACUCGCACCUGUUCUACCCAGAAGAGUGGCUCAAGUUCACAUUCAGAAUUUAUUUGUUGAAAGAGUAUCUCCACUUUAUCACAAUCGAGCACUUCCAAUUCUUUCAGAAGUGGCCAGCUUGAACUAAACCUUCUAGAGCAAAAUCUUUUGAGUUGGUGUAAACCGGAGAGUGUGAGAGAGGUAAGGUUAGGGAAUGAGAGUAAAGGUGCUGCUUCAUCUUCAUUUUCAUUGGCAACAAUUGCCUCCACUCCACUCUCCGAUAUAUAAAGGUCCUCAAGUUGCACAAGAGCACUCGCCACAGAAACCGGAAAAAGGUUUAGCAAUUUGUUGCAUCCCCUUCCUUGCAAUUUCCUUAAUUUGGAAAAUGAAUUUGCUGGAAGUUGGUCAGGCCACAAUGCUCUUAUAUUAUCUAGUCCACGUACAGACAAGGACUCCAAGCCUGGGAGUGCAACCUGUGCAAUUGAUGAUCCCUUUAGUUAAUAAUAUAUACAUAUACAUUCCUAAUAAUUAGACACAUGUAAAUAGAAAAUAAGAGGUUAAAGGAGAAUAUAUCAGUAUAACAAAGCACAAAAUUUAAACUAGAUUCAAGAAGAUCAAGAAAGAGAAAAGAAAAGAAAAAGCCUCCAGAUUUUGAAGAUACAAUGAAACUUAAAAAAAAAAAAAAAAAAACUUCCAAAUUUUCCUUUCGAAAUGAGGUAAUAAGAGGAUUUUUUUUUUCUUUUUUCUUUGCCUCUCUUUCAAAUUUGAUUAACUUCUAUGGAAAACGUAUUUUAACUAGUUAUGGAAAACCGAUUUUUUUUUUUUUAACUUUUAUAUAAGAUACAAGUAAUACUUUAAAAAAAUUGUGAUAUCUAAAUAAUUUUUUGAAAAAUUAUUUUUAAAGAAAUAAGGUAAAUCUAUACUUUUUGUACAAGAUGUUCUACCUUUAUAUACAAAUUUCUGAUUUUUUUUUUAAAAGUGUAUCCAAAUGGACACUAAACUAUCUAGUUUUUAAUUGUUACAACUUUGAAUUGGAUUUUAUGGUAAACUAAUUUACAAGUUAAUGCAUGGAUUCAUCUUAGAUUCCAUCUAUAAAUUUUUUUAAUUAUCUAAUAUAAGACAUUAUAUUAAUGAGUUGAAUUAAUAAUGUAAUUAUAAUUUAUUUGGCAACUUUCUUCCUUCAAAUAUAUAAAAUGAAAAUAAAGUUUAAAAAAUAAAAAAAAUGAAAAAAAUAAAAAAUAAAAAAUGAUUUUUUUUAUAGUUUUUCUAAGAUGAUUUUGUAGAGUACUGUUAGUUUAUAGUUUUAACUUUAUUUCAUUUUACUUUUAACUUUAUUUAUUGAGGUAUGUUCUUUUUUGAAACUCUUGUUUAGAUUUUAUAGAGAAUAUAAAUUUUAAGAAAAAAAAUGAAAUUUAAAUAAAAUAAGAAUAAAGAAAGGCAAAAGGUGGAUGAAUUUUUUUAAGGCAAAAGUUUGAUAACUUGGCACUAUCAUGUAAUGGGUGAAAUUUUUAAAUACUCAACAAAGGCUAGUGAAAUUUAAAUUAAAAGCUUGACAUGUACCUUUUCGACCAAAAUCUUUGGAGUUGGUGUAAAGUUUUGAGUAUGAGAGAGGUUAGUCUAGGGAAUAUUAUUGCACAUUAGUUCAAAUAAAACAUCAACAUUUUUUUUUUGUUAAAUUCUAAAUGAACACCGCUAUAAAUUAAUGCGAUUUUGUAUGCUCAAUUAAAUAAACUUGUUCUUAAGGCAUCACAUGAAGUGUUUAAGUCUAAUUAAUAUUAAUUAAAAAUGAUUAUAUUAAAAAAAAUCCAAAGUAAUUUAUUUUUAUCAUAAGUCAAGUAGGAUAGUUUUAUAAAUAAUUGGUUCUAGUUUCUAGUACUAUUGUACACAAUCGCUAUGUUUGUUGCACCUCCAAAAAAUCUACUACUUGUAAUUAAUUGUAUAUUAUUCUCCAUAUUCACAUCAGUUUAUGUAGUAUGAUUAAUUUAGCAACAAAAUAUAAGUUUACUUGAAAUCGCUUUAAAUUCCUAUGAUAUUAAAGUUUAAGAUUAAAACAAUGUAACAUUAGCCAAAAAGAUUAAGAUCUAUAAUGUAACAUAUAAUAUUUAGAAAAUUCAAGGAAGGGUAAACUCGCACCUGUUCUACCCAGAAGAGUGGCUCAAGUUCACAUUCAUAAUUUAUUUGUUGAAAGAGUAUCUCCACUUUAUCACAAUCGAGCACUUCCAAUUCUUUCAGAAGUGGCCAGCUUGAACUAAACCUUCUAGAGAAAAAUCUUUUGAGUUGGUGUAAACCGGAGAGUGUAAGAGAGGUAAGGUUAGGGAAUAAGAGUAAAAGUGCUGCUUCAUCUUCAUUUUCAUUGGCAACAAUUGCCUCCACUCCACUUUCCGAUAUAUAUAGGUCCUCAAGUUGCACAAGAGCACUCGCCACAGAAACCGGAAAAAGGUUUAGCAAUUUGUUGCAUCCCCUUACUUGCAAUUUCCUUAAUUUGGAAAAUGAAUUUGCUGGAAGUUGGUCAGACCACAAUGCUCUUAUAUUAUCUAGUCCGCGUACAGACAAGGACUCCAAACCUGGGAGUGCAACCUGUGCAAUUGAUGAUCCCUUUAGUUAAUAAUAUAUACAUAUACAUUCCUAAUAAUUAGACACAUGUAAAUAGAAAAUAAGAGGUUAAAGGAGAAUAUAUCAGUAUAACAAAGCACAAAAUUUAAACUAGAUUCAAGAAGAUCAAGAAAGAGAAAAGAAAAGAAAAAGCCUCCAGAUUUUGAAGAUACAAUGAAACUUAACAAAAAAAAAAAAAAACCACCAAAUUUUCCUUUCGAAAUGAGGUAAUAAGAGGAUUUUUUUUUUUUCUUUUUUCUUUGCCUCUCUUUCAAAUUUGAUUAACUUCUAUGGAAAACGUAUUUUAACUAGUUAUGGAAAACAUAUUUUUUUUUUAAAAAACUUUUCUAUAAGAUACAAGUAAUACUUUAAAAAAAUUGUGAUAUCUAAAAAAUUUUUUGAAAAAUUAUUUUUAAAGAAAUAAGGUAAAUCUAUACUUUUUGUAUAAGAUGUUCUACCUUUAUAUACAAAUUUCUGAUUUUUUUUUUAAAAGUGUAUCCAAAUGGACACUAAACUAUCUAGUUUUUAAUUGUUACAACUUUGAAUUGGAUUUUAUGGUAAACUAAUUUACAAGUUAAUGCAUGGAUUCAUCUUAGAUUCCAUCUAUAAAUUUUUUUAAUUAUCUAAUAUAAGACAUUAUAUUAAUGGGUUGAAUUAAUAAUGUAAUUAUAAUUUAUUUGGCAAGUUUCUUCCUUCAAAUAUAUAAAAUGAAAAUAAAUUUUAAAAAAUAAAAAAAAUGAAAAAAAUAAAAAAUAAAAAAAGAUUUUUUUUAUAGUUUUUCUAAGAUGAUUUUGUAGAGUACUGUUAGUUUAUAGUUUUAACUUUAUUUCAUUUUACUUUUAACUUUAUUUAUUGAGGUAUGUUCUUUUUUGAAACUCUUGUUUAGAUUUUAUAGAGGAUAUAAAUUUUCAGAAAAAAAAAAUUAAAUUUAAAUAAAAUAGGAAUAAAGAAAGGCAAAAGGUGGAUGAAUUUUUUUAAGGCAAAAGUUUGAUAACUUGGCACUAUCAUGUAAUGGGUGAAAUUUUUAAAUACUCAACAAAGGCUAGUGAAAUUUAAAUUAAAAGCUUGACAUGUACCUUUUCGACCAAAAUCUUUGGAGUUGGUGUAAAGUUUUGAGUAUGAGAGAGGUUAGUCUAGGGAAUAUUAUUGCACAUUAGUUCAAAUAAAACAUCAACAUUUUUUUUUUUGUUAAAUUCUAAAUGAACACCACUAUAAAUUAAUGCGAUUUGUAUGCUCAAUUAAAUAAACUCGUUCUUAAGGCAUCACAUGAAGUGUUUAAGUCUAAUUAAUAUUAAUUAAAAAUGAUUAUUUUAAAAAAAUCCAAAGUAAUUUAUUUUUAUCAUAAGUCAAGUAGGAUAGUUUUAUAAAUAAUUGGUUCUAGUUUCUAGUAUUAUUGUACACAAUCGCUAUGUUUGUUGCACCUCCAAAAAAUCUACUACUUGUAAUUAAUUGUAUAUUAUUCUCCAUAUUCACAUCAGUUUAUGUAGUAUGAUUAAUUUAGCAACAAAAUAUAAGUUUACUUGAAAUCGCUUUAAAUUCCUAUGAUAUUAAAGUUUAAGAUUAAAACAAUGUAACAUUAGCCAAAAAGACUAAGAUCUAUAAUGUAACAUAUAAAAUUUAGAAAAUUCAAGGAAGGGUAAACUCGCACCUGUUCUACCCAGAAGAGUGGCUCAAGUUCACAUUCAGAAUUUAUUUGUUGAAAGAGUAUCUCCACUUUAUCACAAUCGAGCACUUCCAAUUCUUUCAGAAGUGGCCAGCUUGAACUAAACCUUCUAGAGCAAAAUCUUUUGAGUUGGUGUAAACCGGAGAGUGUGAGAGAGGUAAGGUUAGGGAAUGAGAGUAAAGGUGCUGCUUCAUCUUCAUUUUCAUUGGCAACAAUUGCCUCCACUCCACUCUCCGAUAUAUAAAGGUCCUCAAGUUGCACAAGAGCACUCGCCACAGAAACCGGAAAAAGGUUUAGCAAUUUGUUGCAUCCCCUUACUUGCAAUUUCCUUAAUUUGGAAAAUGAAUUUGCUGGAAGUUGGUCAGGCCACAAUGCUCUUAUAUUAUCUAGUCCGCGUACAGACAAGGACUCCAAACCUGGGAGUGCAACCUGUGCAAUUGAUGAUCCCUUUAGUUAAUAAUAUAUACAUAUACAUUCCUAAUAAUUAGACACAUGUAAAUAGAAAAUAAGAGGUUAAAGGAGAAUAUAUCAGUAUAACAAAGCACAAAAUUUAAACUCUAUUCAAGAAGAUCCAGAAAGAGAAAAGAAAACGCCUUUUGAUUUUGAAGAUCCAAUGAAACUUUAAAAAAAAAAAAAAAAACCUCCAAAUUUUGCUUUCCAAAUGAGGUAAUAGGAGGAUAUUUUUAUUUUAUUUUUUCUUUGCCUCUCUUUCAAAUUUGAUUAACUUCCAUGGAAAACGUAUUUUAACUAGCCAUGGAAAAUGGAUUUUUUUUUUAAAACUUUUAUAUAAGAUACAAGAACUCUUAGAGGGUUACAUUAUGUAAGUAAUACUUUAAAAAAAAUGUUUAAAAAUAUUGUGAUAUCCAAAAAUUUUACUACCUCGGAUUUUAAAUUUUAAAAAAAUUAUUUUUAAAGAAAUAAGGUAAAUCUAUACUUUUUCGUAUAAGAUAUUCUACCUUUAUAUACAAAUUUCUGAUUUUUUUUUUAAAGUGUAUCCAAAUGGACACUAAACUAUCUAGUUUCGAAUUUUUACAACUUUGAAUUGGAUUUUAUGGUAAACUAAUUGACAAUAUAACGCAUGGAUUCAUCUUAGAUUCCAUCUAUAAAUUUUUUAAUUAUCUAAUAUAAGACAUUAUAUUAAUGGGUUGAAUUAAUAAUGUAAUUAUAAUUUAUUUGGCAACUUUCUUCCUUCAAAUAUAUAAGACGAAAAUAUAUUUUAAAAAAUAAAAAAGAAUGAUAAAAAAUAGAAAAUAAAAAUAGCUUAUUUUAUUGUUUUUCUAAGAUGAUUUUGUAGAGUGUUAGUUUAUAGUUUAACUUUAUUUCAUUUUACUUUUAACAUUAUUUAUUGAGGUAUGUUCUUUUUUGAAACUCUUGUUUAGAUUUUAUAGAGAAUAUAAAUUUUAAGAAAAAAAAUGAAAUUUAAAUAAAAUAAGAAUAAAGAAAGGCAAAAGGUGGAUGAAUUUUUUGAAGGCAAAAGUUUGAUAAUUUGGCACUGUCAUGUAAUGGGUGAAAUUUUUAAAUACUCAACAAAGGCUAGUGAAAUUUAAAUUAAAACCUUGACAUGUACCUUUUCGACCAAAAUCUUUGGAGUUGGUGUAAAGUUUUGAGUAUGAGAGAGGUUAGUCUAGGGAAUAUUAUUGCACAUUAGUUCAAAUAAAACAUCAACAUUUUUUUUUGUUAAAUUCUAAAUGAACACCACUAUAAAUUAAUGCGAUUUUGUAUGCUCAAUUAAAUAAACUCGUUCUUAAGGCAUCACAUGAAGUGUUUAAGUCUAAUUAAUAUUAAUUAAAAAUGAUUAUAUCAAAAAAAAUCCAAAGUAAUUUUUUUUUAUCAUAAGUCAAGUAGGAUAGUUUUAUAAAUAAUUGGUUCUAGUUUCUAGUAUUAUUGUACACAAUCGCUAUGUUUGUUGCACCUCCAAAAAAUCUACUACUUGUAAUUAAUUGUAUAUUAUUCUCCAUAUUCACAUCAGUUUAUGUAGUAUGAUUAAUUUAGCAACAAAAUAUAAGUUUACUUGAAAUCGCUUUAAAUUCCUAUGAUAUUAAAGUUUAAGAUUAAAACAAUGUAACAUUAGCCAAAAAGACUAAGAUCUAUAAUGUAACAAAUAAAAUUUAGAAAAUUCAAGGCAGGGUAAACUCGCACCUGUUCUACCCAGAAGAGUGGCUCAAGUUCACAUUCAGAAUUUAUUUGUUGAAAGAGUAUCUCCACUUUAUCACAAUCGAGCACUUCCAAUUCUUUCAGAAGUAGCCAGCUUGAACUAAACCUUCUAGAGCAAAAUCUUUUGAGUUGGUGUAAACCGGAGAGUGUGAGAGAGGUAAGGUUAGGGAAUAAGAGUAAAGGUGCUGCUUCAUCUUCAUUUUCAUUGGCAACAAUUGCCUCCACUCCACUCUCCGAUAUAUAUAGGUCCUCAAGUUGCACAAGAGCACUCGCCACAGAAACCCGAAAAAGGUUUAGCAAUUUGUUGAAUCCCCUUACAUGCAAUUUCCUUAAUUUGGAAAAUGAAUUUGUUGGAAGUUGGUCAGGCCACAAUGCUCUUAUAUUAUCCAGUCCGCAUACAUACAAGGACUCCAAGCCUUGGAGUGCAACCUGUGCAAUUGAUAAUCCCUUUGGUUAAUAAUAUAUACAUAUACAUUCCUAAUGAUUAGACACAUGUAAAUAGAAAAUAAGAGGUUAAAGGAGAAUAUAUCAGUAUAACAAAGCACAAAAUUUAAACUAGAUUAAAGAAGAUCAAGAAAGAGAAAAGAAAAGAAAAAGCCUCCAGAUUUUGAAGAUACAAUGAAACUUAAAAAAAAAAAAAAAAAACCUCCAAAUUUUCCUUUCGAAAUGAGGUAAUAAGAGGAUUUUUUUUUUCUUUUUUCUUUGCCUCUCUUUCAAAUUUGAUUAACUUCUAUGGAAAACGUAUUUUAACUAGUUAUGGAAAACGGAUUUUUUUUUUUAAAAACUUUUAUAUAAGAUACAAGUAAUACUUUAAAAAAAUUGUGAUAUCUAAAAAAUUUUUUGAAAAAUUAUUUUUAAAGAAAUAAGGUAAAUCUAUACUUUUUGUAUAAGAUGUUCUACCUUUGUAUUCAAAUUUCUGAUUUUUUUUUUUUAAAGUGUAUCCAAAUGCACACUAAACUAUCUAGUUUUUAAUUGUUACAACUUUGAAUUGGAUUUUAUGGUAAACUAAUUUACAAGUUAAUGCAUAGAUUCAUCUUAGAUUCCAUCUAUAAAUUUUUUUAAUUAUCUAAUAUAAGACAGUAUAUUAAUGGGUUGAAUUAAUAAUGUAAUUAUAAUUUAUUUGGCAACUUUCUUCCUUCAAAUAUAUAAAAUGAAAAUAAAUUUUAAAAAAUAAAAAAUAAAAAAAAGAUUUUUUUUAUAGUUUUUCUAAGAUGAUUUUGUAGAGUUCUGUUAGUUUAUAGUUUUCACUUUAUUUAUUGAGGUAUGUUCUUUUUUGAAACUCUUGUUUAGAUUUUAUUGAGAAUAUAAAUUUUAAGAAAAAAAAUAAAAUUUAAAUAAAAUAAGAAUAAAGAAAGGCAAAAGCUGGAUGAAUUUUUUUAAGGCAAAAGUUUGAUAAUUUGGCACUCUCAUGUAAUGGGUGAAAUUUUUAAAUACUCAACAAAGGCUAGUGAAAUUUAAAUUAAAACCAUGACAUGUACCUUUUAGACCAAAAUCUUUGGAGUUGGUGUAAUGUUUUGAGUAUGAGAGAGGUUAGUCUAGGGAAUAUUAUUGCACAUUAGUUCAAAUAAAACAUCAACAUUUUUUUUUGUUAAAUUCUAAAUGAACACCACUAUAAAUUAAUGCGAUUUUGUAUGCUCAAUUAAAUAAACUCGUUCUUAAGGCAUCACAUGAAGUGUUUAAGUCUAAUUAAUAUUAAUUAAAAAUGAUUAUAGUAAAAAAAAUCCAAAGUAAUUUUUUUUUAUCAUAAGUCAAGUAGGAUAGUUUUAUAAAUAAUUGGUUCUAGUUUCUAGUAUUAUUGUAGACAAUCGCUAUGUUUGUUGCACCUCCAAAAAAUCUACUACUUGUAAUUAAUUGUAUAUUAUUCUCCAUAUUCACAUCAGUUUAUGUAGUAUGAUUAAUUUAGCAACAAAAUAUAAGUUUACUUGAAAUGGCUUUAAAUUCCUAUGAUAUUAAAGUUUAAGAUUAAAACAAUGUAACAUUAGCAAAAAAGAUUAAGAUCUAUAAUGUAACAAAUAAAAUUUAGAAAAUUCAAGGCAGGGUAAACUCGCACCUGUUCUACCCAGAAGAGUGGCUCAAGUUCACAUUCAGAAUUUAUUUGUUGAAAGAGUAUCUCCACUUUAUCACAAUCGAGCACUUCCAAUUCUUUCAGAAGUAGCCAGCUUGAACUAAACCUUCUAGAGCAAAAUCUUUUGAGUUGGUGUAAACCGGAGAGUGUGAGAGAGGUAAGGUUAGGGAAUAAGAGUAAAGGUGCUGCUUCAUCUUCAUUUUCAUUGGCAACAAUUGCCUCCACUCCACUCUCUGAUAUAUAUAGGUCCUCAAGUUGCACAAGAGCACUCGCCACAGAAACCCGAAAAAGGUUUAGCAAUUUGUUGAAUCCCCUUACAUGCAAUUUCCUUAAUUUGGAAAAUGAAUUUGUUGGAAGUUGGUCAGGCCACAAUGCUCUUAUAUUAUCCAGUCCGCAUACAUACAAGGACUCCAAGCCUGGGAGUGCAACCUGUGCAAUUGAUAAUCCCUUUGGUUAAUAAUAUAUACAUAUACAUUCCUAAUAAUUAGACACAUGUAAAUAGAAAAUAAGAGGUUAAAGG
This 15139-nucleotide long non-coding RNA is filed under the name Vitis vinifera (wine grape). RNAcentral's name for it is "long non-coding RNA (VVIN_LNC003280)". The record is from RNAcentral. Lineage: Eukaryota; Viridiplantae; Streptophyta; Magnoliopsida; Vitales; Vitaceae.